Molecule: transfer RNA, 72 nt
Filed under: Ursus americanus (American black bear)
Lineage: Eukaryota; Metazoa; Chordata; Mammalia; Carnivora; Ursidae
Also listed under: 2 other names
Rfam family: tRNA
About the family: Transfer RNA (tRNA) molecules are approximately 80 nucleotides in length.
Source: Rfam by way of RNAcentral
ACCUGGCUGGCUCAGUUGGUAGAGCGUAUGACUCUUGAUCUCAGGUUGUGAGUUCAAGCCCCAUGUUGAGUG